This 4955-nucleotide long non-coding RNA is filed under the name Sus scrofa (pig). Its description in RNAcentral is "lncRNA (ENSSSCG00025018702.1)". Lineage: Eukaryota; Metazoa; Chordata; Mammalia; Artiodactyla; Suidae. The record is from RNAcentral.
CAUAUGGAGGUUCCCGGGCUAGGGGUCGAAUCGGAGCUACAGCUGCUGACCUACACCACAGCCACAGCAACACAGAAUCUGAGCCUCAUCUGUGACCUACACCACAGCUCUCUGCAAUGCUGGAUCCUUCCUUGACCCACAUGAGGCCAGGGAUCGAACCCGCAACCUCACGGAUCCUAAUCAGGUUCUUAACAGCUGAUCCAUGAAGGGAAAUCCCGGAAUAGGUUUCUUCCUAACACUUAUAUACACCUGGCCUCUUCAGACUUCACAUCACAGCCAGAAACAAUUGUCUACUUUUAAGGACCUGUGUGACUAGAUUAAUCCCACCCAGAUGAUCUAGGAUAAUCUCCCUGUUUUGAGAUCCUUAAUUUAACCACACCUGCAAAGUCUCUUUUGCUGUGUAAGCAAACAUGCACACAGGUUCUGGGGAUUAGUAGGUGGAUAUCUUUGAGUACCCAUUAUUAUGGCCCCAAUAAUAUCUUUUAAUAUCUUCCUACUUCUUUGCUUUAUUUCUCUUAACGCAUAAUCAGAGCUACGGCUGCCUGCCUACGCCACAGCCACAGGAACACUGGACGCAAGCUGCCUCUGUGACCUACAGUUUUGUUAAUUUGUUCUUGGAUUACUUUGACACAUACAACUUUUAAUCCUUUCCUGAGUUUUUCACCUCCUGAGCUUUUCUAAAUCUGACAUAUACUGCUUUCCAUAUCUUAGGUUACUUUUUAUGUCUGCUUUAAACCUAAAACAAUAAAACAGCUGGUUAUUUUUUACCAGCAAAACAGAUUUAUCCAAGAGAACCACAUAAUCACCUUUUGGGACAGGCGACGAUGGUGAACCACAGACAUGUGCAGUAGAAGAAAGGAGAGAAAAUGCUUUGCUAGAGGAAAAGGGGACGUUGGGAGGCUGUAAGAAACAAAAAGUCCCUUCUAGGAAAUUAGUACUUAGACGUAAAGAUGGCUUUUCAUUGGCUGAGUUGUGACAGUCAAAAAACCCUUUCUUCCUCCUGCUGGUGAUACUCAAACAGCAAUCCCUGAGGGAGAUGCAAGGUACAGCUCUUCCUGUUGGGCUCUGCCCUGAUCUUGAGAGGCACGUGUAUGAGAGCGCCCCCUUCUGGCCUCCCCAUUCUAUUUUGGUGAGGUUUCCCUUUAAUUUAAUUUUCGCCCUGAUUUAUUUUAAAAUCUUAGAUUACAGGUCUCAUCCAUUUUGAAGGCAUGACUUUGGCUUCUCUAGAGCCUGUGAUCCCAGAGAGUAAGGCAGGAGACAGUGCUCUCCUUGGGAACCAGCCUCCAAGUCAAACUUCACCAUCUCCCCAACAUCCCACUGGUUGCACCGUGCUCCCGGUUCAGCGUGGGUGGGGACCACGCUGGAUGCAAGCGCCAGUGAGAGAGAAGACAUCUCCACUAUGUCGUCUCAUAAAAUGCUUAUUAGGUACAAGAGGAAAACAAUAACUUUACAAUGGAGAAACCUGACCAACGGCCUUAACCAAGCAUCCCGGUCAGUUCAGGCUGCUGGAACAAAGUCCCAUAGAUUGGGUGGCUUGUGAACAACGGACACUGACUUUCUCACAGCUCUGGUGGCUGGACAUCCAAGAUGAGGGUGGCUGCAUGGUCAGGACCUGGGGAGGACCCUCCUCAGGGGGUGCCAACUGCAGACUUUUCCCUGUGUCCCCGCAGGGGUCAAGAGAGCUGGAGAGCUCAGCGAGGACUCUUACAAAGAUCCCAUCACAAGGGCACCACCUCUCGGCCUAAUCGCCUGCCAAAGGCCCACCUCCUACAACCAUCACACUGGACGUGAGGAUUGCAACCUAUGAAUUUUGUGGGAAAGACAAAUAUUCAGACCGCUGCAUCAAGUGAGCGGAAUUUGCACCUCCAAUAUUGGAACAAACUGACACCGUGCACUUUGAAGAGCUGAGGACCUGUCACUCAUGUGUAUUCCUGCCCAAAUGGCGUGAUCUAAAUCUAACCCUGGGAGUUCCCGUCCUGGCUCAGUGGUUAACGAAUCUGACUAGGAACGAUGAGGUUGCACGUUCGAUCCCUGGCCUCGCUCAGUGGGUUAAGGAUCCGGCGUUGCCAUGAGCUGUGGUGAAGGUUGCAGACGAGGCUUGGAUUCUGCAUUGCUGUGGCUCUGGUGUAGGUCGGUGGCUGCAGCUCUGGUUAGACCCCUAGCCUGGGAACUUCCAUAUGAAAAAGACAAUAAAUAAAUAAAUUUAAUCCUGAAAAGGCUCAGAGGGACCCUAGCUAAAGGACACCCGACAAACGCCUCCAGGGUACUCUGGUUGUCCUGGUGCGUGCUGCCCCCUGCUGGCUCUGCAUGUGCCUUCGGGAAGCAGAAUGAACUCUCCCGUGCCCUGCUCGUUUUCAAUCACUUUUUUCAAUUUCUUUCAUGCUAUUUGACUGAAUUAAGCUACAUUAUAGAAACACCAGCAGGAGCACUGCCACAAAAUAUGGUGCAAACCAAGUAGACUUGGAUGGUUCAUCUUAGCUGCUGUGUGACGGUGGGGAAGCCGCCUAACUUUUCUGAGCAUUAGUUGUCUUAUCUGUAAAAUGGAGUUUUUUUAAAAAAAAAACAACACAAAAACUAGCUCAGAGUAUCAUGAAGAAAAUGUGGUGAGGCUGUAUAGAAAGAACAUUAAUAAUAUUAAGUUAAUAAUACUUACUAGAUUGAUAUAUUAAUGACAGUAUAACAUUAUUAUAGUAAUUACUGUAUACUGAUAAUAGUUAAUAUUCUUGCACUGUGUUUCAGACAUUCAAUAUUAUCUAACAAUCUUUCUGACUACACAUAUCCACACACACACAGACACUUUUGCCUGUUUACAAUAUGGGAAAUUGAGGCACAAAGAGAUUAAGGAACUUGAUACAAUCAACACAGCUAGUAAGAGGAUUUGAACUCAUGUAAGGCAGCUCAAAUGUCCAAACUUUUUAGGAGUUCCCGCUGUGAUGCAGUGGGUGAAGAAUCUGACUGCAGCAGCUCUGGUCACUGCGGGGCUCGGGUUCAAUCCCCCACCUGGGGAAGUUGGGUAAAGGAUCAGGCGUUGCUGCAGCUGUGGCUUAGGUCGCAGCUGGGGCUUGGAUUCAAUCCCUGGCCAGGGGACCCUCCAUAUGCUGUGGGAAUGGCCAUUAAAAAAACAAAAAGUCCACACGUUAAGCCACUAACCUGUUAUCAGCAAAUCCUUGUUUAAAUAAUGAACGAACUUAACUUCAAUGUGUGAUGACGAUUCCAAUGGGGGAAGCAGAGACUUCUCCUUCCCAGCACAUUAGUGUCUUCUGCACAAUCUCUCAGGUCACGAAGGCCUUUUCCAUCCUCCGCCUGUCUCAACUAUCCCGCUCCUUCCGAGACCUUGGGAGAGAAAGCUUUAAUAUUCCUGUGUGCAGCUGGAAAGAGUAUCCCCACGAUUCAAGACACAUCUUCAGUUUUUUAACUUUAAAGAAACAGGGACUGUCCAUGCCAAGAAUAUGCAAGUGGAAGGUCAGAGGUCACUUCCCGGGAGUUCCCGGUGUGGCUCAGCAGGCUGAGAACCUGAUGCUGUCUCUCUGAGAAUAUGGGCUUGAUCCCUGGUGUCACUCAAGUGGCUUAAGGAUGUGGCAUUGCUGCAAGCUAUGGUGUAGGUCGCAGACUCGGCUUGAAUCCUGUGUUGUUGUGGCUGUGGUGUAGGCUGGCAGCUGCAGCUCUGAUUCGGCCCCUGGCUGGGGAAAUUCCACAUGCUGUAGGUGUGGGCUUAAAGAAAAAAAAAAGCACUUCCGCUAUUCCAGCCUCCUGAAUUUAUCGUCAGAAUCUAGUUAAAGGGUUUGUUUCUAUAUAUGUUCACAUCUCUCAGUCCACCUUCUCUGCACACUCACCGGUGCGGCUUCCCUUAAAUAAAACGUGGAGGCUAAAGCAGUAAAUACAGGAACAAGCUAAACGUGAGCAUGGAGCUGGGGCCACAUCCAAGGGCAUCUUUUUCAUUGCUUCGUUUUAAAUGCUUUUAACCUUUAAUCUGUCAAUUUUGGUGAGACAGGAAAAUUAAUAAAUAGCACUCUUACCUCCCACGUCAAACGAUAAUGCAUUUCCUGUUUCUCCCACCUUUAUUUGAGGCUUAUUUGGGGUAUUCUUUAAAUUGACUAGUAUGCUUCCUUCAUUUAAUAGAAUAAGCUUUUCAUAUUAAACAUCUCACGUUUACUAAUGUAUGAAGAGCGACACCUUCAGCCUUAAGGUGCUCGAGGAAGUGAAUGCUUUUGGACAGAGCUUCCACUUUAUUGAUUUUAUGAUAGGAAAAACACAUAUUUCAGGGCAAACUACUCGCUGAGAGGAAGGAGGUACAUUAACUUUCCUGACAGAGCAGUAAUUGAAAGCGUACCUUAGUUUUUUCUUUUUCCUUUGUCUUUUGCCCCGUCUAGGGCUGCACCCACGGCACAUGGAGGUUCCCAGGCUAGGGGUCUGAUCGGAGCUGCUGCCACCGGCCUACGCCACAGCCACAGCAAUGCCAGAUCCGAGCCUUGCCUUCGACCAACACCACAGCUCAUGGCAACGCCAGAUCCUCAACCCACUGAGCAAGGCCAGGGAUCGAACCCCAACCUCAGGGUUAACUAGUCGCAUUUGUUUCUGCUGCACCACGACGGGAACUCCUGAAAGGGUACCUUAGUGACUUAGAAAUGAGGCGGAGAGCCGUAGUUGAGCUGAAAGCGGAGCUCUAGGUGCAGAUCUAGAAAAGCCUACGGAUUUCUGCUCUGUGACUGACUGCCCCCGAGUUCCCUCGGCCCCCAGCCCUCAGAUCAGAUCCCCGCGUGUUAUUUUAAAUCACAAGACUCUGUGCAAGAGGUAAAUCCUCACAGCUGAGGAGACGGGGGCUCGGCAAAGUCAGUGGCCUGAGAAUGAAUAAAUACUGUAAAUCCUCAGUCUCAGGAAACCCACCCAAGGCGAAUGUGCUGGUAAAUGUUUCACGACUGGCUCUCUGUUUUUCUGUUUUUUGUUUUUUUAAAGCC